UGAGUAACCUGCCCUUAACUCUGGGAUAAGCCUGGGAAACUGGGUCUAAUACCGGAUAUGACUCCUCAUCGCAUGGUGGGGGGUGGAAAGCUUUUUUGUGGUUUUGGAUGGACUCGCGGCCUAUCAGCUUGUUGGUGAGGUAAUGGCUCACCAAGGCGACGACGGGUAGCCGGCCUGAGAGGGUGACCGGCCACACUGGGACUGAGACACGGCCCAGACUCCGUACGGGNGGCAG
RNAcentral lists this ribosomal RNA (235 nucleotides) under uncultured bacterium. Its description in RNAcentral is "partial 16S ribosomal RNA". It matches the Rfam family "Bacterial small subunit ribosomal RNA", at positions 118 to 351 of the family's 1533-position model. The record is from RNAcentral.